AACGAACGCUGGCGGCGUGGAUUAGGCAUGCAAGUCGAACGAGAAAGUCACUUCGGUGGCGAGUAAAGUGGCGAAAGGGCGAGUAAUGCGUGGACAAUCUACCCUCAAGAUGGGGAUAAUCACCCGAAAGGGUGACUAAUACCGAAUGUGGCGCUGAGAUCGCAUGUUUUUGGCGCUAAAGGUGGGGACCUUCGGGCCUACCGCUUGGGGAGGAGUUCACGUUCUAUCAGCUAGNGGUGGGGUAACGGCCCACCAAGGCAGCGACGGAUAGGCGGCCUGAGAGGGUGGUCGCCCGCACUGGGACUGAGACACUGCCCAGACUCCUACGGGAGCUGCAGUCGAGAAUCAUUCUCAAUGAGCGAAAGCUUGAAGAUGCGACGCCGCGUGGGGGAUGAAGGCCUUAUAGGUUGUAAACCCUAGUCUCGAGUGAAGAAGUUCAUCUGCGAUAACAUC
This 453-nucleotide ribosomal RNA is filed under the name uncultured bacterium. RNAcentral describes it as "bacterial SSU rRNA". It matches the Rfam family "Bacterial small subunit ribosomal RNA", at positions 29 to 467 of the family's 1533-position model. The record is from RNAcentral.